Molecule: ribosomal RNA, 866 nt
Filed under: Ceratocystis albifundus
Lineage: Eukaryota; Fungi; Ascomycota; Sordariomycetes; Microascales; Ceratocystidaceae
Description: eukaryotic LSU rRNA
Rfam family: Eukaryotic large subunit ribosomal RNA
Source: RNAcentral
UAAGCGGAGGAAAAGAAACCAACAGGGAUUGCCCUAGUAACGGCGAGUGAAGCGGCAACAGCUCAAAUUUGAAAUCUGGCUAUCUUACCGUAGUCCGAGUUGUAAUUUGUAGAGGAUGCUUUUGGUGAGGUGCCUUCCGAGUUCCCUGGAACGGGACGCCAUAGAGGGUGAGAGCCCCGUACGGUUGGAUACCAAGCCUUUGUAUAGCUCCUUCAACGAGUCGAGUAGUUUGGGAAUGCUGCUCUAAAUGGGAGGUAUAUCUCUUCUAAAGCUAAAUAUAGGCUAGAGACCGAUAGCGCACAAGUAGAGUGAUCGAAAGAUGAAAAGCACUUUGAAAAGAGAGUUAAACAGCACGUGAAAUUGUUGAAAGGGAAGCGCCUAUGACCAGACUUGUUUCUGGCAGUUUCGUUAGCCCUCGGGCUGAUUUACUCUGUCCAGUACAGGCCAGCAUCAGUUUGCUGUCGGGGAGAAAGGCUCUGGGAACGUAGCUCCCCCCUUCUGGGGGGGAGUGUUAUAGCCCUCUGCAUAAUACCCUUCGGCAGACUGAGGACCGCGCUUCGGCAAGGAUGCUGGCGUAAUGGUCAUCAGCGACCCGUCUUGAAACACGGACCAAGGAGUCAACCUUAUGUGCGAGUGUUUGGGUGUAAAACCCCAGCGCGUAAUGAAAGUGAACGUAGGUGAGAGCUUCGGCGCAUCAUCGACCGAUUCUGAUGUUUUCGGAUGGAUUUGAGUAAGAGCACACAGGGUUGGACCCGAAAGAAGGUGAACUAUGCUUGUAUAGGGUGAAGCCAGAGGAAACUCUGGUGGAGGCUCGCAGCGGUUCUGACGUGCAAAUCGAUCGUCAAAUAUGAGCAUGGGGGCGAAAG